UUCUGUCUUAUUCUUCUAUCGUUUGUAGCUCAUAUGCCAACAGUGGGUUUUUUGGGGGGGGGAGACUCAGGGUUCGAGUGAGGAGAGGGAGCGUGAGAAUCGUCUGCCUCAUCCAAGGAAGGCAGCAGGCACGCAAAUUACCCAAUCCCAGCCCGGGGAGGUAGUGACGAAAAAUAACAAUGCGGGACUCUUCCGAGUUUGCGUAAUUGGAAUGAGAACACUUUAAAUCCUUUACCGACAACCAAUUGGAGGGCAAGUCUGGUGCCAGCAGCCGCGGUAAUUCCAGCUCCAAUAGCGUAUAUUAAAGUAGUUGAGGUUAAAAAGUUUGUAGUUUGAGCUCGGCUCCGGACUGCGCGGGGGGGUCACCGCCCGGUGCCCUUCCGCCAGGUUCCGGAAUUUUCCACUGAGUUGGAGGCGAGCCGGUUCUUGCCGGGGUGGUCUUGACCGAGUGUCCCGAGCGGCCGGCCAGUUCACCUUGAACAAAGGAGAGUGCUCAAAGCAGGCUACUCUUAAACAUAAAGCCCGGAUGAUUCAUGCAUGGAAUGAUGGAAGAUGAUCUCGGUUUCAUUUUGUUGGUGGUGGGAACCAGAGUUAAUGAUAAAGAGGGACUGUCGGGGGCGUCCGUCCUACGACGCGAGAGGUGAAAUUCAGUGACCGUCGUAGGACGAACAACAGCGAAAGCAUUCGCCAAGAAUGUCUUCCUUUAUCAAGAACGAAAGUUAGAGGAUCGAAGGCGAUCAGAUACCGCCCUAGUUCUAACCCUAAACGAUGCUGACCAGCAAUCCGCCGUCGUUAUUCCCAUGACGUGGCGGGACGCCCCCUGGAAUCCUCAAGUCUUCUCCC
This 843-nucleotide ribosomal RNA is filed under the name Exhippolysmata oplophoroides (redleg humpback shrimp). RNAcentral describes it as "SSU rRNA". It matches the Rfam family "Eukaryotic small subunit ribosomal RNA", at positions 305 to 1116 of the family's 1831-position model. Lineage: Eukaryota; Metazoa; Arthropoda; Malacostraca; Decapoda; Hippolytidae. The record is from RNAcentral.